This 1770-nucleotide ribosomal RNA is filed under the name Candidatus Saccharibacteria bacterium RIFCSPHIGHO2_12_FULL_49_19. RNAcentral describes it as "bacterial LSU rRNA". It matches the Rfam family "Bacterial large subunit ribosomal RNA", at positions 1 to 1357 of the family's 2925-position model. The record is from RNAcentral. Lineage: Bacteria; Candidatus Saccharimonadota.
AAAGUUACUCAAGCGCACAUAAAGGAUGCCUUGACGUCAAGACACCGAUGAAGGACGUAGCAGGUUGCGAUAAGCCUCGGGGAGCUCCUAAGCAAGCUUUGAACCGGGGAUGUCCGAAUGGGGAAACCUUAUGCGAGUCAUGUCGCAUAGCGUAUAGCUGAAUUCAUAGGCUAUGCAGCGGUAAGCUGGGGAACUGAAACAUCUUAGUACCCGGAGGAAAGGAAAGUAAACAACGAGUCCCGGAGUAGUGGCGAGCGAAACGGGAUCAGCCCAAACCUUAUAUGCUCCAGCUGUGUCUCACUGCAGUUCGAACAGCUGAGGUUCUAGUGGAUAGGUUAUAGGUUCUAGAUUUUUCUAGCACCUAACACCUAAAACCUAGUACCUUUGCCUGUCGAGCGUAGCGAGACGCAGCCGGUACGGCUGGUAGGCUAAUGCAUAGAAGGGGUUGUGACUAGCAAUUAACCAGUUCAGGUUGUUCAUUGCGAGGAAUCUGAACUGUUGCAAGAGCUACCAUCUCUUGCGUAAGGUUAGAAAUUUCCGGUGCGAGCAGAACCGGCUGGAAAGCCGGGCCAAAGACUGUGAAAGCCAGGUAUGCCAAGUGUCGGAAACCUUAUGAAUUGCUAAGUCGAGUAGGUCGGGACACGUGAAACCCUGACUGAAACUAGGGGGACCACCCCCUAAGGCUAAAUAUGUCUGACGAUCGAUAGUGGACUAGUACCGUGAGGGAAAGGUUAAAAGAACCGCGGAUAGCGGAGUGAAAUAGAACCUGAAAUUAUGUGCGUACAAGGAGUCGGAGCCCAGCACUUAGAUUUUGAUAGGUAGUUCGAUGGAUUUCCACCGUUCAACCAUCUUACAUCGAUGUCUAAGUGCUGGGUGACGGCGUGCUUUUUGUAGAACGAUCCAGUGAGUUAAUUUGCAGUGCAAGCUUAAGCCAUCUGGCGGAGGCGUAGUGAAAGCGAGCCUUAAUAGGGCGAUUUAGUACUGUGUAUUAGACCCGAAACCGGGUGACCUAACCAUGGGCAGGCUGAAGCGCGGGUAAAACCGCGUGGAGGGCCGCACCAUUACGAAUUGCAAUACGUUUGGAUGACCUGUGGUUAGUGGUGAAAUGCUAAUCGAACCCGGAGAUAGCUGGUUCUCCUCGAAAUAGCUUUAGGGCUAGCGUUGUACGGUAAUAUGCGGGGGUAGAGCUCUGUUUCGGAAUAGGGCCAGUGAUGGUACCUACCCUUGACAAACUACGAAUACCGCAUAUGGAACUACAGCAGUUAGAACGGCGGGGCUAAGCUCGUCGCUCGAAAGGGAAACAGCCCAGACCUCCAGCUAAGGUCCCUAAAUUUACACUAAGUGGGAAACGAAGUGGGAUUUCUUUGACAAUAAGGAUGUUGGCUUAGAAGCAGCCAUUCAUUUAAAGAGUGCGUAACAGCUCACUUAUCAAGAGAUCCUGCGCGGAAAAUUUAACGGGGCUCAAGUGUAAUACCGAAGCUGAGGAUGCGGUGCGUGGCACCACGGUUAACAGUAAACAGUUUUCAGUUUGCUGUGUGUUAUCAGUUUUCUGUUAUCAGUGUAAACGGUUAACGGAUCACUGCUCAUACACCGUAAACAGUUAAUUGCUAACUGGUAACUGCGAUGCUGUGCAUCGCGUGGUAGAGGAGCGUUGAUAUCGCGCUGAAGUCAGAUUGUAAGAUCUGGUGGAGUGUUAUCAAGUGAGAAUGCUGGAAUGAGUAACGAUAAGAUAGGUGAGAAUCCUAUCCACCGAAAGAGCGAGGUUUCCUG